RNAcentral lists this ribosomal RNA (948 nucleotides) under uncultured eukaryote. RNAcentral's name for it is "SSU rRNA". It matches the Rfam family "Eukaryotic small subunit ribosomal RNA", at positions 639 to 1620 of the family's 1831-position model. The record is from RNAcentral.
CCUUGGGUCUGGCUGGCCGGUCCGCCUCACCGCGAGUACUGGUCCGGCUGGACCUUUCCUUCUGGGGAAUCUCAUGGCCUUCACUGGCUGUGGGGGGAACCAGACUUUACUGUGAAAAAAUUAGAGUGUUCAAAGCAGGCCUUUGCUCGAAUACAUUAGCAUGGAAUAAUAGAAUAGGACGUGCGGUUCUAUUUUGUUGGUUUCUAGGACCGCCGUAAUGAUUAAUAGGGAUAGUCGGGGGCGUCAGUAUUCACUGUCAAGGUGAAAUUCUUGGAUUUGCUGAAACUAACUACUGCGAAAGCAUUCGCCAAGGAUGUGUUUUCAUUAAUCAGGGAACGAAAGUUAGGGGAUCGAAGACGAUCAGAUACCGUCGUAGUCUUAACCAUAAACUAUGCCGACUAGGGAUCGGACGGUGUUUCUCUAUUAUGACCCGUUCGGCACCUUACGAGAAAUCAAAGUUUUUGGGUUCUGGGGGGAGUAUGUCGCAAGGCUGAAACUUAAAGAAAUUGGCGGAAGGGCACCACCAGGCGUGGAGCCCCUGCGGCUUAAUUUGACUCAACACGGGGAAACUCACCAGGUCCAGACAAAAUAAGGAUUGACAGAUUGAGAGCUCUUUCUUGAUCUUUUGGAUGGUGGUGCAUGGCCGUUCUUAGUUGGUGGAGUGAUUUGUCUGCUUAAUUGCGAUAACGAACGAGACUCGGCCCUUAAAUAGCCCGGUCCGCAUUUGCGGGCCGCUGGCUUCUUAGGGGGACUAUCGGCUCAAGCCGAUGGAAGUGCGCGGCAAUAACAGGUCUGUGAUGCCCUUAGAUGUUCUGGGCCGCACGCGCGUACACUGACAGGGCCAGCGAGUACAUCACCUUGGCCGAGAGGUUGGGUAAUCUUGUUAAACCCUGUCGUGCUGGGGAUAGAGCAUUGCAAUUAUUGCUCUUCAACGAGGAAUGCUAGUAG